This is a long non-coding RNA of Hevea brasiliensis (rubber tree), 3165 nucleotides long. RefSeq lists it as uncharacterized. NCBI's taxonomy places the organism in Eukaryota, Viridiplantae, Streptophyta, Magnoliopsida, Malpighiales, Euphorbiaceae. The transcript is spliced from 2 exons. The record is from RefSeq and is a predicted model, not a curated record.
AUAAAUAAUUUUGUUUUCCAGUUCUCAUCACCGGACGUCAAUUUUACCAUUUUCAGCCGCAUACUUUGCUCUGUGGCCGCGGCGGCUCGUGCGGCUUGCCUCCACUCCUGUUCACUGUCACGAUCGCUUCUCCUGCACUGCCUCCACUGCCGAACCAGUCUCGGUACUUCCUUUUCCGGUUCAACCGAAUAUUCUCAACCACCCGGCCCUCUUCCACCGCCAAACCUCCUCCAGUGGCGGUUCGCUCUCAGGCCAAGCGAGUCUUCUUAUUCAAAGAAGACGAAGUAACUUCCCGUGAGCGGACCUCAAAUUGCAUACUGGAUUAAAUUUAUGGUGUUUAAUCCAGUAGGAAAGCGUGCGACAGCUGAAGAUUCGUUUGAGCAUUUGCUUCCGUCACAGUAGAAUUGGUCAAUCAUGAUUGGAGUUUCAACUCCAGAAACUUGAAUGUUUGAGAAUGUGACUCCUUGUACUGAGCCUGAGCCUCCCUGCAGUAGGUAAAUGAAAUAACUAUUAGAUGCUUUCAGAAUUGUAUAUGUAUGUGUUACUAAAGGAGAAAGUCAAUGGGAUAAAUUUGGAUGUUUGUGGUAUUCAUGCCUGCCAUGUCUUUAUCCUAACACCGGUUAAUGUGUUUUGCAUUGCAACAUUCCGGAUGGUGACGUUUGAAACACAGGCUUUGGUGUUGUCCUUUCCAAGCCCUCCAAUGCUAAUGCCAUGUCCAGGUCCACAAUUUACAUUGUGUAUGUAAACAUUUGAGCAUCCAGUUUGAAUAGAUACACAGUCAUCCCCUGUGAAGUCAGUAGGAUAAGAAAUUAAUAUCUUAUCUGAUUUGAUGCAUGUGGACACGAUGAUGAAUUUAGCCACUGAGGCUCUCUUAUUCUGGAUUUCUUGUUUGAUCUUCUAAUGUGUUUGAAUAUUACUUUCAGUAAAAGUAGUUACUUGGUGCCAUUAUGAAGACAAUAUCCAUUAUGGUUCACUAGUUUAGUUUCUGAAAUUACCACAAGCAAGAUCAGAGCUGUAAAUGAGCACAUCUCGGGAAUUCUGUAGGUGAAUUCCAUCUGUAUGUGGACUGUUCUCAGGUGAUGCAGCAGUGAAACCUGAAACCUGAACAGAUGUGCAAUCAUCGAAUUUAAGAUGGGUUUGAGGGCUGUUUUGAAUUGUUAUCCCGGUGACGGUCACAUCAGUACUACCAUAGAAUCUUAGAGCCUGCAUAGAUAGAGCAAAAACAUAAGCAAAAACGUUCUUAAUAUCAACAACCUGGUGAGACUCUGAAAAGAGGAGGUUUUGUGAGGAGGCUUACUGUUGGCUUGGUGCUAGGCAUUUUUGCACUGAGCUCACUGCUUACCUGCUAGAUAUCAUUUGCACAAUAGGGCAGAGGGUUAUCUUUGUACAAUUUCAACUUUAAAUUAGCAGUGGAUUUAUUUUAUUUUAUUUUUAAUCCUUUACCUCUGAAUCUGGACUGUAUGUUGGUAGGUCAUUCCACCAGACUGAACCUUGUCCAUCAAUGACACCUUUACCUCUGAUUGUGAUCCCUUUCAGUUUUGUGAACUCAAUCCAUUGCAAAAGCCCUGAUCCCCAAGCUCCAGCACUUGUGGGAGCUAUGAUCUUGCCAUCUAACUGCAUGACAUUACAAACAAAUUCUAGUUCAUUCUGUUAAGUCUAAAAGUUCAACCUUCAAAUGAUGAGGCUUGUGGAAUAAAAAGGUGUGCUCAUUAAGAGUAUGGAAAAUUUACCUGAAAUAUAAUGUUUUCUGCACAAUUAGGACCUGAAAAAGAUAUUGGCUGGACAAGGAAAAUAGACCCAGAAGGAACCACUAUUGUUGAUGCUUCUACUUUGCAAGCAGCUGCCCAUACUGCCUCAAAUGCCUGUCCCACAUGAUAGCAGUUCCAAUAUGACAAGUGUAAGAAUUCCAAACAAAAAUGGGAAUAAGGUCAGCCUUCCAAUAUUAGUCUAUUUACCAUAUCUUUUUAGUGUCAUUCUCUUGCUUAUUCUAGUAUAUUUUGAUUUAUGAUUGCCUUGUUUACUAUUUGAUGUCACUGAAACUGCUGCUCACAUCCUUGGCAGGUGCUACUAAUCACAAAUUGCAAAAGAUGAACCCCUUUUAGUACUUUCUUGAUAUGGUGAAGCAUAGAUGUGUGUGUGUGUGUGUGUGUGUGUGUGUGGAGCAAACCCUUUUCCAUAUUUUCUUAAUUAUCUUUUCCUAAACAAUUAGUCAUAAGUAUUUCUGUUGCAGUAAAUGGUAUCAUGGCUAACAUAUAUUUGUCUUUCGAGUCUAGUUAAAAGCAGAUCAUUCAAUUUAUGACUAUAUAUUUCAUAGGAAAGAAAGGCACUAAUAUCGUAAACUUGACAACAUUCCAUAAGUUCAUCUACAUUGUGACACACUAAAAACAGAGAAUCGAAGAUGUUAAGUGUCUAGCAGAAUUCUUGUAACUUUGAAUUGCUAUGGUAUAUUAUGUAUUAUAUAGGAUUUUGAAAUGUUUUAAUUUAAACCUCAUAUAUGAAACUCAUAGGGAAAAAAUAUAUAUGAAGGCUUCAUGAAAUAAUCACCUUUGUGUCAUCAGUAUGCCCAUCGCCUUUAGCACCAUAGUCAAGGACAUUAAAGGUGGAAGCAGAGCUCUGUCCUUUCUGAGUUGCCAUAGUUUUAUCCGGCAAAAUGUAAUAAGAAUCCGUGAACUUUGACAAGCUGCGGCCAUGGUGAUGACUCUGCAUAGACACAGAGGCUGCUGGGGCAGUUUUGCUUUGCCUCCAGUAUUUGCCUUGUCUUGCAUGGCAAGGUUCAAUUCUUGCAGACCAAGCAAAUAAGAUAAUGAUGAGGAUGGUGAUUAGUGAAAGGUUCUCAAGAUUGAAGCCACCCAUUUUGAUCAUGUGAAGGAUGAUUCUUUUCUUUAAUUAGAUGACUAAUGAAGAAGAAGAAGAUAAAUGGGUUUUCUAUAUGUGCCAAUGUGGAAGAUGAGUGGAUUUUAUGUGAUCUAUUUUGAGAUUGGUGGACGUGAAUUUAUAGGGAGAAGGUAGUCUAAGGUCAUGGCACUAUUCAGGCAUAUGAUAAACAGUUACAUUAAAGACGGGUUUCUUCCUUCUUCAAUUUUCUUAGUUCGUCUAUUUGUGUCCCACGUUUGAUGUGAUAGUAUAUUAUUAUUUGUUUUAUCUCUCAAUUAUUCUAUUGAUUCA